GAUGAACGCUGGCGGCAUGCCUAAUACAUGCAAGUCGAACGAAGUGAAGAUAGCUUGCUAUCAGAACUUAGUGGCGAACGGGUGAGUAACACGUAGAUAACCUGCCUGUAUGACCGGGAUAACAGUUGGAAACGACUGCUAAUACCGCAUAAGCCCACAGCACCGCAUGGUGCAGCGGGAAAAGGAGCAAUUCGCUUCAGGAUGGCCUCGCGUCCAAUUAGGUAGAUGGUGAGGUAACGGCCCACCAUGCCGACGAUUGGUAGCCGGACUGAGAGGUUGAACGGCCACAUUGGGACUGAGACACGGCCCAG
This 311-nucleotide ribosomal RNA is filed under the name uncultured bacterium. RNAcentral's name for it is "bacterial SSU rRNA". It matches the Rfam family "Bacterial small subunit ribosomal RNA", at positions 28 to 334 of the family's 1533-position model. The record is from RNAcentral.